RNAcentral lists this ribosomal RNA (444 nucleotides) under uncultured bacterium. RNAcentral's name for it is "SSU rRNA". It matches the Rfam family "Bacterial small subunit ribosomal RNA", at positions 26 to 518 of the family's 1533-position model. The record is from RNAcentral.
AGAGCGAACGCUGGCGGCAGGCCUAAAACAUGCAAGUCGAACGCCCGUAGCAAUACGGGAGUGGCAGACGGGUGAGUAACACGUGGGAACGUGCCUUUUGGUUCGGAACAACACAGGGAAACUUGUGCUAAUACCGGAUAAGCCCUUACGGGGAAAGAUUUAUCGCCAAGAGAUCGGCCCGCGUCUGAUUAGCUAGUUGGUGAGGUAACGGCUCACCAAGGCUACGAUCAGUAGCUGGUCUGAGAGGAUGAUCAGCCACACUGGGACUGAGACACGGCCCAGACUCCUACGGGAGGCAGCAGUUAGGAAUCUUGGACAAUGGGCGCAAGCCUGAUCCAGCCAUGCCGCGUGAGUGAUGAAGGCCUUAGGGUUGUAAAGCUCUUUCAGCGGGAAGAUAAUGACGGUACCGCAGAAGAGCCCGGCUAACUUCGUGCCAGCAGCCGC